GACGAACGCUGGCGGCGUGCCUAAUACAUGCAAGUAGAACGCUGAAGCUUGGUGCUUGCACCGAGCGGAUGAGUUGCGCACGGGUGAGUAACGCGUAGGUAACCUGCCUGGUAGCGGGGGAUAACUAUUGGAAACGAUAGCUAAUACCGCAUAAGAGUAGAUGUUGCAUGACAUUUGCUUAAAAGGUGCAAUUGCAUCACUACCAGAUGGACCUGCGUUGUAUUAGCUAGUUGGUGAGGUAACGGCUCACCAAGGCAACGAUACAUAGCCGACCUGAGAGGGUGAUCGGCCACACUGGGACUGAGACACGGCCCAGAGUCCUACGGGAGGCAGCAGUAGGGAAUCGUCGGCAAUGGACGGAAGUCUGACCGAGCAACGCCGCGUGAGUGUAGAAGGUUGUCGGAUCGUAAAGCUCUGUUGUAAGAGAAGAACGAGUGUGAGAGUGGAAAGUUCACACUGUGACGGUAUCUUACCAGAAGGGGACGGCUAACUACGUG
RNAcentral lists this ribosomal RNA (497 nucleotides) under uncultured bacterium. RNAcentral describes it as "partial 16S ribosomal RNA". It matches the Rfam family "Bacterial small subunit ribosomal RNA", at positions 28 to 507 of the family's 1533-position model. The record is from RNAcentral.